Molecule: non-coding RNA, 186 nt
Filed under: Bacillota bacterium
Lineage: Bacteria; Bacillati; Bacillota
Description: Firmicutes bacterium (anaerobic digester metagenome) 6S RNA
Rfam family: 6S / SsrS RNA
About the family: E. coli 6S RNA was the first non coding RNA to be sequenced, but its function was unknown until recently. It consists of 184 nucleotides that fold into an extended hairpin structure with a large single-stranded internal bulge. The 6S RNA specifically associates with RNA polymerase holoenzyme containing the sigma70 specificity factor.
Source: RNAcentral
GCGGCCCUACAAUGUUCGUGGUUAAGCUGAUUUGUGUUGUGAACCAACACACAAUGCUAGGGAGCCUGGGCUCUGGGUGUGGACUGAAUGCCAUUUCGGAUGGACUCAGGAAGCAUCCAGGAGGGCACCCACCUGGUAAACAGGUUCAGCAAUCACUCAGCAAUUAGCGGCAUUUGUGGGGCUGAA